This is a long non-coding RNA of Lycium barbarum (goji berry), 2490 nucleotides long. RefSeq lists it as uncharacterized. The record is from RefSeq and is a predicted model, not a curated record. The transcript is spliced from 2 exons. NCBI's taxonomy places the organism in Eukaryota, Viridiplantae, Streptophyta, Magnoliopsida, Solanales, Solanaceae.
ACAAACCAACAGAAACUACAUCACCCAAAUUAAAGAGUAGGGAAGAAUAUUAAGUAUUUUUUUAAAGUUAAAAAAGAUACUUUUCUUUAAGGUUCUAUGUCCGAUUUUGCAAGAGGGCUUUAGCUCAGCUUCAACAGACAUGGAGAGCAGAAAGCGGUUAAAAAAAAAAAUAGCAACAAAAAGUUCGAAUCUGUCAGACAGCCAUUAGACCAUCCCAAACCCCGUUGACGGAGAUGAGAACGAUCAUCUACGGCGGCCAUGGGUGCUGUUAAUCACGCUCUGGUCAAAUGGCCACGUGUCAUCAACCAGACUUAGUUUCCUGUCUCCUUAGAACUCAAGGAUAAGGUGGUACGAGCCUAUAGAACAGAUCCUGUUCAAGUAAGGUCGUGACAUUUCUUCUCACGACUCUUGCUUAAGUAGCAAUUUCCAGCAUAGUAUUAUGCCGAUGUGGGACAAGGAGCAACUACAAGUACAAUUUUUAUGACAAGGAAAAAGGGAGAAGUUUUGCUUGGAUUUGAAGUCAUUAUACCAUCUCACCAAUGCCUCACAAAACUUGGUCUAUGGCAGCAGCUCUUCUGCUGUUUACAGGACUAAAUGUUGUUCUGGUCUCAACAAUAACUCCUGUCUAUGAUUCUGUAUGCUUCCAUCCUUAUUGGGAAAGAAUAGUAAGACACUCAUUUCCCUGUAUCCCUAUGAAGCUGAAAAAUAGUUCUCUCUUUCAGCAGUGUCCUACAUCUUUUAUGAUUCAUCAUUGGAUCGCGUCUUCUGGCCAUGCAGUGCCUGACGCAAAAUUCAUUAAAGUCACAAAAAUUCUUAAUGGUUACGCUUGUUUUGAUGAACCUUACAACCUGAUACAACCAUAUGUCAACGCCUUGUAUUCAAAUGUUUGAAUUGAGCAAAUAAUUUGUCCUGAAAAUACAAACCAGCUUCACUAAUACACUGGGGUCUUCUUUAUUGAUCUUAUGGAUAGUGAAGAACAGCAGUGUUCCUUUAAUUAGCAGAUGUGCAGAGGCCCUUUCAAUAGUUUUGAUCAUGUCUGCAGUUCAUAAAGAUGUUUAUUUGGAGCAUUUGGAUGUAUGUUUGUGUAAACUAUGACAAUUCAUUUCUGAUUUUUAGCUAACGCACAGGGAUAAAUUUAUUUCAACUGUUCUUCAGAUAGUUGCAGUUUUUAACUUGAUUUUGAUGCUUCUUGAUGGAUUCUGAAUAUGAGCUUCUGUUCCACGGUGUUUGAAAUCAUUAUACUAUCACCAAUGCCUAACAGAACUGUCAGCCUUUGUCAGCUCCUCUGUUGUUUGCCGGACUUAAUGUUAUUUGGUCUGAACGAUAACUCCUGUUUGCGAUUUUGUAUGCUUCCAUCCUUAUUGGGAAAGACGAGUAAGAUACAUAUUUUCCAUGUAUGAUGUAUCCUUAUGAUGCUGCAAAUUAUUCCUCCGUUCAGAAUUCAAUGUCUUACUCUACAGCUUUAUGUUCAUCCUUGUUUAUACAUCAUCUGGCCAUGUUAUUGAGUAGAUGAGAAUGUGGAAUCCAUUAAAUAUAAUAUUAGUAUCAUGUGGUUCACAGAACUAUCAUAUGUUGGAAUCACAUGAAACUCUUAAUGAUUAUGCCUCUUUAAAUGAACCUUAAUUACGAUUAUCAUCAACAGGUGCCAUCUUGCUGCUGCUUUGUUUAACUUGUUUUAUAUGUUGUUGAUUACUCAGAGAACUUAGUGGUGUGUUUUCACCAACGCCAUUCAGUAAGUUAAGCAGAGAGGUGUCUGCAAUACCAUGUGAAUCCUCAUUGUUCAUCUGCUUGCUAAUUUUGCUGUCAAACACUCUGGAUUUGGAUGCAAUAAGAAUAGAAAGAUCUGCAGAAGGUCGCGUUGCUGGCUGCGGUACUAUGUAUCUACAGCAUGACACUUGAAUUUUCAAGAUCAAUUUAUAUAUUAUUGUUCUUCUGAUUUUUGUGUUGCAACACUAGUGUUUACUUCAUUGUUAUCCUGUAUAUUAAAAGAGAAUCAAAUAUAUGCUCCAUUGAUCUUUUCUCUAUUUCCAAACAGAAAGCUAAAGAAAGAACAAUGUCAUUUUAACUGAUUCUCCCACAUCACCAGGAGGGAAGAGAAGUGAAGCAAAAGAACUAGCAUAAAAUAUGGGCUGGGCACACAGAAUAACAUACUUACCUGGACGGGGUCAAUGGGUGAUCAAUAAGGCCCAUGGCCUAGGUUGGUGACCUCCAUUGCACUUAGGAGGGGUGCCCGCCUAAGGUCGGCCCAAGCGGUCGAGCCUACGUCAUAAUUUGUGGCAGCGGGGGCCUGCGUUCGCGCAGCCCCUACCCAAUUCAAGUCUAAACUUUUUCAGUCCACUGAGAAAUUUGUCCACUUGUUUAUUCUGAUGUUGUAUUUUAAUGGAAAUUCCAAUAAUAUGUUGCGUGAAGUAAAGUUCAUUUGUUUCAUCCUGUUAAUUAGAGAUUAAGUCAUACUUAUAUACGAGCAAAUGGAUUAUUAAUGUUUUAAUA